GAUGAACGCUGGCGGCGUGCCUAAUACAUGCAAGUCGAGCGGACGGACGAGAAGCUUGCUGCGCGGAUGUUAGGGGCGGAGGGGAGAGUAACACGUGUAUAACCUACCUAUAAGACUGGGAUAACUUCGGGAAACCGGAGCUAAUAGCGGAGGAGAUUUUGAACCGCAUGGGUCAAAAGUGAAAGACGGUCUUUCUGUCACUUAUAGAGGGAUCCGCGCUGCAUUAGAUAGUUGGGAAGGUAACGGCUUACCAAGGCAACGAUGCAUAGCCGACCUGAGAGGGUGAUCGGCCACCCUGGAAGUGAGACACGGUCCAGACUACUACGGGACGCAGCAGUAGGCAAUCUUCCGCAAUAGGCGAAAGCCUGACAGAGCAACGCCGCGUGAGUGAUGACGGUCUUCGGAUCGUAAAACUCUGUUAUUAGGGAAGAACAUAUGUGUAAGUAACUGUGCACAUCUUGACGGUACCUAAUCAGAAAGCCACGGCUAACUACGUG
RNAcentral lists this ribosomal RNA (497 nucleotides) under uncultured bacterium. Its description in RNAcentral is "partial 16S ribosomal RNA". It matches the Rfam family "Bacterial small subunit ribosomal RNA", at positions 28 to 507 of the family's 1533-position model. The record is from RNAcentral.